Molecule: non-coding RNA, 21 nt
Filed under: Arabidopsis thaliana (thale cress)
Lineage: Eukaryota; Viridiplantae; Streptophyta; Magnoliopsida; Brassicales; Brassicaceae
Source: RNAcentral
UGGAGAAUGUUAGGGGAAGUC